Macaca nemestrina (pig-tailed macaque) is the source of this 2980-nucleotide long non-coding RNA. The record is from Ensembl. NCBI's taxonomy places the organism in Eukaryota, Metazoa, Chordata, Mammalia, Primates, Cercopithecidae.
AUGGCUCAAGUUUCCUGUUCCAGGGCCAUGGUGGAGUUCUGCUGUCUCCAGAUUCCAGGAAUUCUCUUGUAUUCCAUCAUCAUAUACCAGACUGAGGAUAAGAGGCACAGAAUUGCAGCCAUGGUCUUCUUCACCAAGGAACAAGAGGCUCCCGGAAAACCCUGGCCCUUGGCUAUCUCUUCCAUGAGCACACCCUGGCCCUGGGGCCUGAGAUCUCUCCAUGCAGAGGCAGCCAUGAACUGCGGGGGCAGCAGCAAGGCUGGUCGCACCACCCACCCCGCCACCUCCGGCCCCGCCGCUCAACCAGCCAUCAGUCCCUUAACUGCCAGUGUUUGUGGACCAUGCAAAACAACCAACUUCCUCAAGCUCCAGGGAGCCAGAUGAGGCAGAUACCAUUACCUCUUCUUUUAUAAAGAAGAAACUCAUUUAUGGAGGAGUGGGAGCUGAACCAGUGUUGGACAGAUUGAGACUAAAUCCCCAGUCCUUUGAUUUCCAGCUUUUUGGAGUCUCUGCAUAAAUACCCAGAGUCCCAGAGGAGGCAUCAAUGUCCCUCAAAUGCCUGAUGACAACUCCCUCCCUCAUUUAUUAAUCACUGAGCUGGGGCCAGAUACUGUAUGGGGCUUUCAUUGGAAACAAAGUUGACAGAGACCCUGCCUUUAAGUGUUCGCAAUCUGGAUAUUGAUUAGGUCACCACUCUGCCCAUUUCAAUCCUCAGCUUUCUCUUCUUCUACUAGAAAAAUAACCCCAACAGUGCUUUAUUUUAUUUCAUUUAUUUCUUAUUUAUUUAUUUGAGACAGAGUCUCACUCUGUUGCCCAGGCUGCAGUGCAGAACUUGAUCACAGCUCAAUGAAGCCUCAACCUCCUGGGCUCAAGUGAUCCUCUCACUUCAGCCUCUUCUGAGUAACUAGGACCACCAUGCUUGCCUUUUUUUUUUUUUUUUUUUUUGAGACAGCAUCCCACUAUGUUGCCGAACCUGGUCUCAAACUCCAGGACUCCAGUGAUCCUCCCACCUUGGCCUCCCAAAACACUGGGAUUGCAGAUGUGAGCCACCUGCCCAGCCUUGUUUUAUUAUUUUUGAGACAGGGUCUGGCCCUAUAGCUCAGGCUGGAGUGCAGUGGUGUGAUCACAGUUCACUGCAGCUUCAACCUCCUGGGCUCUGGUGAUUCUCCCACCUCGCCCUCCCUAGUAGCUGGGACCACAGGCAUGCAACACCAUGCCCAGCUAAUUUUUAAAUUUUUUGUAGACUUGGGGUCUUGCUCUGUGGCCUAGGCUGGUCUUAAACUCCUAGGCUCAAGCGAUCUUCCUACCUCGGCCUCCUAAAGUGUUGGGAUUACAGGUGUGAGCCACCAUGCCCAGUCCAAUAGUGGUUUUUGGCUGGUGAUGUUGAAUCAAUUUUAUAAUCUUUUCAGAAUUUGAUUAGGAGUCAGAACACUAACAUUCUAGUUCCAGUUCUGCUACUUCACUGUGUAAUAGUGAGCCAGUCCUUUCCUAUGUGUGGGCUUCAUUUUUCACAUCUGCAAAAUGAUUUUGUGGGAUUGCGUCAGAAGAGAGUAGGAAUAUGGUUUCUAAGAACUUCUGGCUCAGAUCAUUUAGGAGAUGAAGACCCUUUGUAAUCUGUGGGCAGUGUUGUUUCUUUGGGUGAAAGGCUGGAGGGUAGGAGCCAAUGGGGCAUGUUAUGAGACCUUACAUUCUGCUGCCUUCCUCCUUAGCUUUGUGAGGUACCCUUCCCAAGGAGCAGGGAACUUGAGCUUUCUGAAAACCUCAGAGGGACCCCAUUUCUACCUGUCCUCACCAGCAAUACUCAGGAAGCACCAGAACUAUUUUGGAUUGGAAGUUAUUCAGCCAGAUUCCGAGGGUGAAGUUCAUGAAACAGAGAGAGAAUCAGAGAAGGAGAAGAGAGAGGCAUAAAGGAAGAGGCAGAGAGACAGAUAAAAGGAAGAAAGAGGUUGGAGGGACAGAGGGAAAGACUUAGAGGAAAGAAAGGAGGAGAGAGAAAAAUAGAGAGUAGGAAUUAGAGACAAACAGAUAGAGACAGGAAGAAAAAGAAAGAAACAGAGAGACAGAGAAACAGAAGAGAGAAGGAAACAGAGAAGGGAAGAGGAGAGAGGAGAGAAAAACAGGGGAAAAGAGACAGAAACAGGGAAAGACAGAGAGAGAGAAAAUAUAUGAAUGAAUAUGAUAAUAUGAUAGUGGACAUACCUAGUCCCAGGCAGCCGCAUAAGAGAAGCUGCAUAAAAUCAUACAUCUUGAACAGAAUCUAGAAGUGAAAGUGAAUCUAGAAGUGAAAAAUCGAGGCCAGAGAGCAAUUGAGCUUUGUUCAUAGUCACACAGCAAGCUGGUGGAAGUGCCAGGACUCAAACCCAUGAGGCACUGGCAUCAGGGAGUUUUGCCCUCUUCCCCCAUCAGUUCUCCUCUGAGGAUGAAGACAUACAACAUACAUGCAUGCUUACUAAGGCUGACUAGGGUCAGUUUGGUUCUAUUACAUAGCACUUUUGGGAGAUUAGAGGCAGACUUCAUGGAGGAGGUGACUUUUGGGUCAGGGCUUGAAGGAUGAAAACGAGAGCCAAAAUUUUAAUUGCGGCCAGGCGUGCUGGCUCACACUGGUAAUCCCAGCACUUUGAGAGGCCAAGGAGGGUUGAUUACCUGAGGUCAGGAGUUCGAGACCAACCUAGCCAACAUGGUGAAAUCUGUGUCUACUAAAAAUUAAAAAAAAAAAAUUAGCUGGGUGUGAUAACACGUGCCUAUAGCCCCAGCUACUGGGAAGGCUGAGGCAGGAGAGUCACUUGAACCUGGAAGACAGAGGUUGCAGUUGCAGUGAGCUGGGAUCGCACCAUUACACUAUAGCCUAGGCAACAAAACUCUGUCUCAAAAAAAAAAAAAAAAGAAUUUCAAAGAUGCACUUAUUCUUUAAAAAAAUUCAAAGUAAGGCUGGGCACAGUGGCUCAUGCCUGUAAUCCCAGCACUUUGGGAGGCUGGGGCG